Mastomys coucha (southern multimammate mouse) is the source of this 490-nucleotide long non-coding RNA. RefSeq lists it as uncharacterized. The record is from RefSeq and is a predicted model, not a curated record. NCBI's taxonomy places the organism in Eukaryota, Metazoa, Chordata, Mammalia, Rodentia, Muridae. The transcript is spliced from 2 exons.
CGCGAGAGUCCCUGCGUGAGCCACUUGUGCGGGCUCCCGCGUUCCGGGAGGAGGCAGAGGGUCAGGCCCUUCCUGACCGCAAAGCAGCCGCCGAGUGGCUGUUGCUGUCAGGCCUCUCCUGCUUGGCAGGAAAACAGCUGGAACCAGAGGGAACAGCGCUUUGAAAAUCUGUUUCUGGGAACAAAGCGUAGAAUGGUGGCGGAAUGUCUGGCCAGGGAGGCGUGGCCCUCAGAUGAUUGCAAGCCAGAAGGCCCUGAUAAAUCAGAGAUGCUUCAUGGGGUCCAGGAAGAUGUCUCAGGAAGUAAGCUCUUGCCAGUCAAACUUAAGCACCUGAAUUGGAUCCUCGGGUCUGAAGAUGGAAGAACAAUCAACUUAAGGUGUCCUCUGAAAUUCUGUGUAGAGUAGUAAUACACAUGAUUGCACUCACACAUCAUGCCCACCGGCACGCGCACAAACACACAAAUAAAAACAUGUUUUCAUGUUGCUCUAG